RNAcentral lists this ribosomal RNA (718 nucleotides) under uncultured Delftia sp. Its description in RNAcentral is "bacterial SSU rRNA". It matches the Rfam family "Bacterial small subunit ribosomal RNA", at positions 41 to 756 of the family's 1533-position model. The record is from RNAcentral. Lineage: Bacteria; Pseudomonadati; Pseudomonadota; Betaproteobacteria; Burkholderiales; Comamonadaceae.
GGCAUGCCUUACACAUGCAAGUCGAACGGUAACAGGUCUUCGGACGCUGACGAGUGGCGAACGGGUGAGUAAUACAUCGGAACGUGCCCAGUCGUGGGGGAUAACUACUCGAAAGAGUAGCUAAUACCGCAUACGAUCUGAGGAUGAAAGCGGGGGACCUUCGGGCCUCGCGCGAUUGGAGCGGCCGAUGGCAGAUUAGGUAGUUGGUGGGAUAAAAGCUUACCAAGCCGACGAUCUGUAGCUGGUCUGAGAGGACGACCAGCCACACUGGGACUGAGACACGGCCCAGACUCCUACGGGAGGCAGCAGUGGGGAAUUUUGGACAAUGGGCGAAAGCCUGAUCCAGCAAUGCCGCGUGCAGGAUGAAGGCCUUCGGGUUGUAAACUGCUUUUGUACGGAACGAAAAAGCUUCUCCUAAUACGAGAGGCCCAUGACGGUACCGUAAGAAUAAGCACCGGCUAACUACGUGCCAGCAGCCGCGGUAAUACGUAGGGUGCGAGCGUUAAUCGGAAUUACUGGGCGUAAAGCGUGCGCAGGCGGUUAUGUAAGACAGAUGUGAAAUCCCCGGGCUCAACCUGGGAACUGCAUUUGUGACUGCAUGGCUAGAGUACGGUAGAGGGGGAUGGAAUUCCGCGUGUAGCAGUGAAAUGCGUAGAUAUGCGGAGGAACACCGAUGGCGAAGGCAAUCCCCUGGACCUGUACUGACGCUCAUGCACGA